GAUGAACGCUGGCGGCGUGCCUAAUACAUGCAAGUCGAGCGAACAGACGAGGAGCUUGCUCCUCUGACGUUAGCGGCGGACGGGUGAGUAACACGUGGAUAACCUACCUAUAAGACUGGGAUAACUUCGGGAAACCGGAGCUAAUACCGGAUAAUAUAUUGAACCGCAUGGUUCAAUAGUGAAAGACGGUUUUGCUGUCACUUAUAGAUGGAUCCGCGCCGCAUUAGCUAGUUGGUAAGGUAACGGCUUACCAAGGGAACGAUGCGUAGCCGACCUGUGAGGGUGAUCGGCCACACUGGAGGUGGGACGCGGACCAGGCGCCUAAGGGAGGAAGCAGAAGGGAAUCUGCCGCAGUGGUCGAAAGCCUUGCGGAGCGACGCGGAGUGAGUGAUGAAGAUCUUCGGAUCGUGAAACUCUGUUUUGAGUGGAGAACAAAUGUGGAAGUAACUAUACACGUCUUGACGGUACCUAAUCAGAAAGCCACGGCUAACUACGUG
This 497-nucleotide ribosomal RNA is filed under the name uncultured bacterium. RNAcentral describes it as "partial 16S ribosomal RNA". It matches the Rfam family "Bacterial small subunit ribosomal RNA", at positions 28 to 507 of the family's 1533-position model. The record is from RNAcentral.